RNAcentral lists this ribosomal RNA (253 nucleotides) under uncultured bacterium. RNAcentral's name for it is "partial 16S ribosomal RNA". It matches the Rfam family "Bacterial small subunit ribosomal RNA", at positions 524 to 776 of the family's 1533-position model. The record is from RNAcentral.
AACGUAGGACGCAAGCGUUAUCCGGAGUUACUGGGCGUAAAGCGCGGGCAGGCGGUCUUGCCAGUCUGAUGUGAAAUCUCCUCGCUCAACGGGGAGCAGCCAUUGGAAACUACAAGACUGGAGUCUGGCAGAGGUAGGCGGAAUUCCGGGUGGAGUGGUGAAAUGCGUAGAGAUCCGGAGGAACACCAGAGGCGAAGGCGGCCUACUGGGCCAGUACUGACGCUGAGCCGCGAAAGCCAGGGGAGCAAACGGG